AAACCAACAGGGAUUGCCUUAGUAACGGCGAGUGAAGCGGCAAGAGCUCAAAUUUGAAAUCUGGCACUUUCAGUGUCCGAGUUGUAAUUUGAAGAAGGUAUCUUUGGAGUUGGCCCCUGUCUAUGUUCCUUGGAACAGGACGUCACAGAGGGUGAGAAUCCCGUGCGAUGGGGAGACCAAUUCUAUGUAAAGUUCCUUCGAAGAGUCGAGUUGUUUGGGAAUGCAGCUCUAAGUGGGUGGUAAAUUCCAUCUAAAGCUAAAUAUUGGCGAGAGACCGAUAGCGAACAAGUACAGUGAUGGAAAGAUGAAAAGAACUUUGAAAAGAGAGUGAAAAAGUACGUGAAAUUGUUGAAAGGGAAGGGCUUUUGAUCAGACUUGGUGUUUAGUACUCUCUACUCCUUGUGGGUGGGGCUCUUGCUUUAUACUGGGCCAGCAUCGGUUUGGAUGGCAGGAUAAUGGCUGUUGAACGUGGCUUCACUUGUGGAGUGUUAUAGCUUCAGCUGAUACUGCCUAUCUAGACCGAGGACUGCGUCUUUGACUAGGAUGCUGGCGUAAUGAUUAAAAGCCGC
RNAcentral lists this ribosomal RNA (569 nucleotides) under Nakazawaea siamensis. RNAcentral's name for it is "LSU rRNA". It matches the Rfam family "Eukaryotic large subunit ribosomal RNA", at positions 62 to 648 of the family's 3401-position model. Lineage: Eukaryota; Fungi; Ascomycota; Pichiomycetes; Alaninales; Pachysolenaceae. The record is from RNAcentral.